GGGUGCGAGCGUUACCCGGAUUUACUGGGCGUAAAGGGCGUGUAGGCGGCCCGUUAAGUCCGGUGUCAAAGCCCACGGCUCAACCGUGGAAAGGCGCCGGAUACUGGCGGGCUAGACGGACGGAGGGGGUAGCGGAAUUCCCGGAGUAGCGGUGAAAUGCGUAGAUACCGGGAGGAACGCCGAUAGCGAAGGCAGCUACCUGGACGUCCCGUGACGCUGAGGCGCGAAAGCGUGGGGAGCAAACCGGAUUAGAUACCCGGGUAGUCCACGCCCUAAACGAUGAGUGCUGGGUGUCGGGCUUUGGCUCGGCGCCGUAGCUAACGCGUUAAGCACUCCGCCUGGGGAGUACGGCCGCAAGGCUGAAACUCAAAGGAAUUGACGGGGGCCCGCACAAGCGGUGGAGCAUGUGGUUUAAUUCGAAGCAACGCGAAGAACCUUACCAGGCCUUGACAUGCCGGGAACCCCCUGGAAACAGGGGGGUGCCCUUCGGGGAGCCCGGACACAGGUGCUGCAUGGCCGUCGUCAGCUCGUGUCGUGAGAUGUUGGGUUAAGUCCCGCAACGAGCGCAACCCCGUCGCUAGUUGCCAGCAGUUCGGCUGGGCACUCUAGCGAGACUGCCCGGGAAACCGGGAGGAAGGCGGGGAUGACGUCUGGUCAGCAUGGCCCUUACGGCCUGGGCGACACACGUGCUACAAUGGUCGGCCCAAAGCGCAGCGACCCUGCGACGGGAAGCGAAUCGCAAAAAGCCGAUCUCAGUUCGGAUUGCAGUCUGCAACUCGACUGCAUGAAGGCGGAAUCGCUAGUAAUCGCGGAUCAGCCAUGCCGCGGUGAAUACGUUCCCGGGCC
This 846-nucleotide ribosomal RNA is filed under the name uncultured bacterium. Its description in RNAcentral is "bacterial SSU rRNA". It matches the Rfam family "Bacterial small subunit ribosomal RNA", at positions 530 to 1380 of the family's 1533-position model. The record is from RNAcentral.